This 1540-nucleotide ribosomal RNA is filed under the name Klebsiella pneumoniae. RNAcentral's name for it is "16S ribosomal RNA". It matches the Rfam family "Bacterial small subunit ribosomal RNA". Lineage: Bacteria; Pseudomonadati; Pseudomonadota; Gammaproteobacteria; Enterobacterales; Enterobacteriaceae. The record is from RNAcentral.
AAAUUGAAGAGUUUGAUCAUGGCUCAGAUUGAACGCUGGCGGCAGGCCUAACACAUGCAAGUCGAGCGGUAGCACAGAGAGCUUGCUCUCGGGUGACGAGCGGCGGACGGGUGAGUAAUGUCUGGGAAACUGCCUGAUGGAGGGGGAUAACUACUGGAAACGGUAGCUAAUACCGCAUAAUGUCGCAAGACCAAAGUGGGGGACCUUCGGGCCUCAUGCCAUCAGAUGUGCCCAGAUGGGAUUAGCUAGUAGGUGGGGUAACGGCUCACCUAGGCGACGAUCCCUAGCUGGUCUGAGAGGAUGACCAGCCACACUGGAACUGAGACACGGUCCAGACUCCUACGGGAGGCAGCAGUGGGGAAUAUUGCACAAUGGGCGCAAGCCUGAUGCAGCCAUGCCGCGUGUGUGAAGAAGGCCUUCGGGUUGUAAAGCACUUUCAGCGGGGAGGAAGGCGUUAAGGUUAAUAACCUUGGCGAUUGACGUUACCCGCAGAAGAAGCACCGGCUAACUCCGUGCCAGCAGCCGCGGUAAUACGGAGGGUGCAAGCGUUAAUCGGAAUUACUGGGCGUAAAGCGCACGCAGGCGGUCUGUCAAGUCGGAUGUGAAAUCCCCGGGCUCAACCUGGGAACUGCAUUCGAAACUGGCAGGCUAGAGUCUUGUAGAGGGGGGUAGAAUUCCAGGUGUAGCGGUGAAAUGCGUAGAGAUCUGGAGGAAUACCGGUGGCGAAGGCGGCCCCCUGGACAAAGACUGACGCUCAGGUGCGAAAGCGUGGGGAGCAAACAGGAUUAGAUACCCUGGUAGUCCACGCCGUAAACGAUGUCGAUUUGGAGGUUGUGCCCUUGAGGCGUGGCUUCCGGAGCUAACGCGUUAAAUCGACCGCCUGGGGAGUACGGCCGCAAGGUUAAAACUCAAAUGAAUUGACGGGGGCCCGCACAAGCGGUGGAGCAUGUGGUUUAAUUCGAUGCAACGCGAAGAACCUUACCUGGUCUUGACAUCCACAGAACUUUCCAGAGAUGGAUUGGUGCCUUCGGGAACUGUGAAACAGGUGCUGCAUGGCUGUCGUCAGCUCGUGUUGUGAAAUGUUGGGUUAAGUCCCGCAACGAGCGCAACCCUUAUCCUUUGUUGCCAGCGGUUAGGCCGGGAACUCAAAGGAGACUGCCAGUGAUAAACUGGAGGAAGGUGGGGAUGACGUCAAGUCAUCAUGGCCCUUACGACCAGGGCUACACACGUGCUACAAUGGCAUAUACAAAGAGAAGCGACCUCGCGAGAGCAAGCGGACCUCAUAAAGUAUGUCGUAGUCCGGAUUGGAGUCUGCAACUCGACUCCAUGAAGUCGGAAUCGCUAGUAAUCGUAGAUCAGAAUGCUACGGUGAAUACGUUCCCGGGCCUUGUACACACCGCCCGUCACACCAUGGGAGUGGGUUGCAAAAGAAGUAGGUAGCUUAACCUUCGGGAGGGCGCUUACCACUUUGUGAUUCAUGACUGGGGUGAAGUCGUAACAAGGUAACCGUAGGGGAACCUGCGGUUGGAUCACCUCCUUA